GCUGAACCUAAGCAUAUCAAUAAGCGGAGGAAAAGAAACUAACCAGGAUUCCCCUAGUAACGGCGAGUGAAGCGGGAAGAGCUCAAAUUUGUAAUCUGGCACCCUUUGGCUGUCCGAGUUGUAAUCUGGAGAAGUGUUUUCUGUGCUGGACCGUGUACAAGUCCCUUGGAACAGGGCGUCAUAGAGGGUGAGAAUCCCGUCUUCGACACGGACUCCCGGUGCUUUGUGAUGCGCUCUCGAAGAGUCGAGUUGUUUGGGAAUGCAGCUCAAAAUGGGUGGUAAAUUCCAUCUAAAGCUAAAUAUGGGCGAAAGACCGAUAGCGAACAAGUACCGUGAGGGAAAGAUGAAAAGCACUUUGGAAAGAGAGUUAAACAGUACGGAAAUUGUUGAAAGGGAAACGCUUGAAGUCAGUCGCGUCUCCCGGGACUCAGCCCUGCUUUUCUGCAGGGUGCAUUUCCUGGGACGACGGGCCAGCAUCGAUUUCAGUCGCUGGAGAAAGGCAAGGGGGAAUGUGGCACCUUUUUUGGUGUGUUAUAGCCCCCGGUUGUAUGCAGUGACAGGGAUCGAGGAUCGCAGCACGCCUCUAAUGGCCGGGGUUCGCCCACGUUAACGUGCUUAGGAUGCUGGCGUAAUGGCUUUAAGCGACCCGUCUUG
Molecule: ribosomal RNA, 654 nt
Filed under: Clavariadelphus occidentalis
Lineage: Eukaryota; Fungi; Basidiomycota; Agaricomycetes; Gomphales; Clavariadelphaceae
Description: eukaryotic LSU rRNA
Rfam family: Eukaryotic large subunit ribosomal RNA
Source: RNAcentral